This 626-nucleotide ribosomal RNA is filed under the name uncultured bacterium. RNAcentral describes it as "bacterial SSU rRNA". The stretch from base 98 to 626 matches the Rfam family "Bacterial small subunit ribosomal RNA", at positions 1 to 529 of the family's 1533-position model. The record is from RNAcentral.
AGAUUCAGUAGGUGACCUAUAGGAAUACUCAAGCUAUGCAUCCAACGCGUUGGGAGCUCUCCCAUAUGGUCGACCUGCAGGCGGCCGCGAAUUCACUAGUGAUUAGAGUUUGAUCCUGGCUCAGGAUGAACGCUGGCGGCGUGCCUAACACAUGCAAGUCGAGCGAGAAUGUUUUGAUGGAAUCUUCGGAUGAAAUCAAAACAGGAAAGCGGCGGACGGGUGAGUAACGCGUAGGCAACCUACCCUAUACAGAAGGAUAGCCUCGGGAAACUGGGAAUAAUACUUCAUAAAACUCUAACACCGCAUGAUGAAUGAGUCAAAAUUCAGGUGGUAUAGGAUGGGCCUGCGUCUGAUUAGCUAGUUGGUAAGGUAAUGGCUUACCAAGGCGACGAUCAGUAGCCGACCUGAGAGGGUGAUCGGCCACACUGGAACUGAGACACGGUCCAGACUCCUACGGGAGGCAGCAGUGGGGAAUAUUGCACAAUGGGCGAAAGCCUGAUGCAGCAACGCCGCGUGAACGAUGAAGGCCUUCGGGUCGUAAAGUUCUGUUCUAAGGGAAGAAUAAAUGACGGUACCUUAGAAGAAAGCCCCGGCUAACUACGUGCCAGCAGCCGCGGUAAUACGUA